RNAcentral lists this ribosomal RNA (324 nucleotides) under uncultured Desulfobacter sp. RNAcentral's name for it is "bacterial SSU rRNA". It matches the Rfam family "Bacterial small subunit ribosomal RNA", at positions 29 to 334 of the family's 1533-position model. Lineage: Bacteria; Pseudomonadati; Thermodesulfobacteriota; Desulfobacteria; Desulfobacterales; Desulfobacteraceae. The record is from RNAcentral.
AAUGAACGCUGGCGGCGUGCUUAACACAUGCAAGUCGAACGAGAAAGGGAUUGCUUGCAAUCCUGAGUAGAGUGGCGCACGGGUGAGUAACACGUAGAUAAUCUACCUUCAAGCCUGGGAUAACUAUUCGAAAGGGUAGCUAAUACCGGAUAAAGUUUAUUAUUAUAAGAUAAUUUAUGAAAGAUUGCCUCUUCUUGAAAGCAAUUGUUUGGAGAUGAGUCUGCGUACCAUUAGCUAGUUGGUAGGGUAAUGGCCUACCAAGGCAACGAUGGUUAGCUGGUCUGAGAGGAUGAUCAGUCACACUGGAACUGGAACACGGUCCAG